RNAcentral lists this long non-coding RNA (201 nucleotides) under Lathyrus oleraceus (garden pea). RNAcentral's name for it is "Pisum sativum (pea) long non-coding RNA (PSAT_LNC017326)". The record is from RNAcentral. Lineage: Eukaryota; Viridiplantae; Streptophyta; Magnoliopsida; Fabales; Fabaceae.
UUCUCUUUGUCGGUCGAUUUAUCCUUUAUUAACCCAGUAACCGGUUGUGGAUAAUCUUCCAUGCGAGUAUAUUAUCUACGUUCUGACGGUAAUAGAUAAUAUAUCUCAUGCACUCUUUGGUCGAAGCUUUUUGUUCUUCCCUAGUUGAGUAAGAUUCGUAUCCCUGUUUUGGAAUCGAAUGUCCAUCCCUUAAUCGAGUUU